UUUUUGCUCUGCCAAGCGCUGUCAACUGUGAGACCUUAUAUAGACAGGUGUGUGCCUAAAUAAGGGGAUUCUGUUUUUAUUAAUACUUUUCUAAACUUGUUUUCGCAUUGUCAUUAUAGGGUAUUGUGUGUAGAUUGCUGAGGUUUUAUUUAAUCCAUUUUAGAAUAAGGCUGUUUACGUAACAACAUUUGGAAAAAGUCGAGGGGUCUGAGUACUUUCCGAAGGCACUAAGUAUUUGAUGCAGCUAUUGUGGUACUAGCUAACCCAUGUCUGACAACAACAGUGUACUAACUAGCAGCAACAAACUCUAACCAACCCAGGACCAUAGCAAAACAUGUCAAAGUUGGUUGCAUCGUGCACACCGGCCAGAAUCCAAUCCAAUCUGGAGCCAUUCAGUCUGCAUCUGUAAAGCAUAGAAUGAGCUUCCAAACCAAAUGACGCUAUUUUCCGAGCUAUGUUUAUAAUCGAGAGAUGAUGACAAUCGUUGACCCUGUUUUUCAAAGUGCACAGUUGGGUACCAGACUGAUCGCCUGGUCAUGAACGGAUGCCGGGACCUACGAGAAGGAGCGAAGCUUGUCAGGCAAGACCUCAGCAUAAAAGUGUCAUGCGACACAAGUACCCUUGUGACACCACCUCCGUUGUUGCCAGAGUCCUCCUUGAUUCCUAUGAAAAGGACACACCAUUAUGAGCUCUCUUAUAGUGACCCGAGUUACUGCCCUGAUGACACAGGCGGCUUCAUCAAUGACAGGCAAUGUGUUAUGUGAAAAGUUGUAUUAAAAAAAUACUCUGCUUGAUAAACUAGUAGGCUCAUUCCCCCAGUCAAGCAGCUACAACUAGUAGUCAUUUUGGUUGUGAAGUCCAUUAACAAAAAGCUUUGUCCUUUCUUUAGAACAAAAUGCAAUUCACCACUUGGCUGUCUAUUAUAUCACCCUGUCGCAGGCCCUCCCAGUCAUCACCACCACAUAAGAUUGCCUGCUGCAAUUUGCAGCUGAACAUGCAGCAUAGGGAAGACCAGCAAUGGGGCCCUCAUCAGCAUCAUGCAGACAUGUCCUCGCUGUAAGCAUUCCUGUGAAUGGAACGGUCAGCCACCUGUGGGCAAGAAUCCGGCAAGCAACCUUCAACAGGAACAGAUUUCACAGGCUCCUUAUUUGUACAAAUACACAAGAUACAUGAGGUACAAAGAGACCUGGCACUCAACACAUCCACAAUGAGGUGGACUGGAGAUGCUAUUGCCAGACUGCAGCCUCAGUCAAUUGAUGGGGAGACCAUAAUUGGCAAGGUUCAAUCUGACCUGUUCAAGCUUCAACAUAGUACUGAUCCUAACUGCCAUUGGUAAUAAAACAGUGACUGUGUGCAUGUGUUCACAGAAACAU
Molecule: non-coding RNA, 1373 nt
Organism: Salvelinus sp. IW2-2015
Lineage: Eukaryota; Metazoa; Chordata; Actinopteri; Salmoniformes; Salmonidae
Source: RefSeq, a predicted model, not a curated record